UGCCCAGCAACUCAUAUCCCUACCUCCUCGUGGUACUGGCCGGGGUACGGGGUAACCUUGGGGAAGAUCGGGUAACCAACCCCCGGUGGGAACUUUGGUCGUAUGCUGACAGGAAAGG
This 118-nucleotide ribozyme is filed under the name Aedes aegypti (yellow fever mosquito). RNAcentral describes it as "drz-agam-1 ribozyme". It matches the Rfam family "drz-agam-1 ribozyme". Lineage: Eukaryota; Metazoa; Arthropoda; Insecta; Diptera; Culicidae. The record is from Rfam by way of RNAcentral.